AAAGUCGUAACAAGGUUUCCGUAGGUGAACCUGCGGAAGGAUCAUUACUUGACUGUAAGUCGAUUCCAGGCCUCCUCUUCGUGAGCGCAGGCCGGAAUCGCCUGACUUCUACCUUGACUACACGUACCUUUGUUGUUUCCUCGGCAGGUCUCCUGCCGACAGGAAACCCCUAUAACCCUUGAUGUACAGUAUCUAAACCUCUGACAACUACAAAAUUAUUUACAACUUUUAACAAUGGAUCUCUUGGUUCUG
Molecule: unclassified non-coding RNA, 252 nt
Filed under: Ascomycota sp.
Lineage: Eukaryota; Fungi; Ascomycota
Description: partial contains small subunit ribosomal RNA, internal transcribed spacer 1, and 5.8S ribosomal RNA
Rfam family: Eukaryotic small subunit ribosomal RNA (bases 1-47)
Source: RNAcentral